UGAUACAUAUGUAUCACCCUACAUAUGUUUAAUCUUGUCAUAAUUUGGAAGCUAAGCAGGGUUGAGUCUGAUGAGUACUUGGAUGUGAGACGGGCUGAGAAUACUUGUAUGUUGUAG
RNAcentral lists this ribosomal RNA (117 nucleotides) under Petromyzon marinus (sea lamprey). The record is from RNAcentral. Lineage: Eukaryota; Metazoa; Chordata; Hyperoartia; Petromyzontiformes; Petromyzontidae.